ACCCUACUAGUAGGGGAGUAGCCGUACGAAAUAGCGGAGUUAAUAACCUACUGUUGUAUUUAGUAUGACAUCUGACGAAUACCAAAGGUUCACCGCUAUAGGAUGGGGAUGCGUCUGAUUAGGUAGUCGGCGGGGUAACGGCCCACCGAGCCAACGAUCAGUAGGGGUUCUGAGAGGAAGGUCCCCCACAUUGGAACUGAGACACGGUCCAAACUCCUACGGGAGGCAGCAGUGAGGAAUAUUGGUCAAUGGGCGAGAGCCUGAACCAGCCAAGUAGCGUGCAGGAUGACGGCCCUAUGGGUUGUAAACUGCUUUUAUGCGGGGAUAAAGUGAGGGACGUGUCCCUUAUUGUAGGUACCGCAUGAAUAAGGACCGGCUAAUUCCGUGCCAGCAGCUGC
RNAcentral lists this ribosomal RNA (398 nucleotides) under uncultured bacterium. RNAcentral's name for it is "bacterial SSU rRNA". It matches the Rfam family "Bacterial small subunit ribosomal RNA", at positions 128 to 518 of the family's 1533-position model. The record is from RNAcentral.